AUGACAUCCACUCCAGGGAAAAAACAAACCGAAGAUCCUGUAGGGGCUGAAGAGAUACUGUGUGGACUAGGAGCCUGGAAGACUGAGCAGGAGGUAACACGUCACAGCGAGGGCACACACAGCAGUGUUACACAUGUCAAACAGGACACAGGGGAGGUACAGUGUCACAGCACCCUGUUACACAUGUACAGCAGGACACACGGGAGGUACAAUGUCACAGCACCCUGUUACACAUGUACAGCAAGACACACGGGAGGUACAUCACAGCAGUGUUACACAGGUACAGCAGGACACACGGAGGUACAUCACAGCAGUGUUACACAGGUACAACAGGACACACGGGAGGUACAAUGUCACAGCAGUGUUACACAGGUACAGCAGGACACACGGGAGGUACAUCACAGCAGUGUUACACAGGUACAGCAGGACACACGGGAGGUACAUCACAGCAGUGUUACACAGGUACAGCAGGACACACGGGAGGUACAUCACAGCAGUGUUACACAGGUACAGCAGGACACAGGGGAGGUACAUCACAGCAGUGUUACACAGGUACAGCAGGACACACGGGAGGUACAUCACAGCAGUGUUACACAGGUACAGCAGGACACACGGGAGGUACAUCACAGCAGUGUUACACAGGUACAGCAGGACACACGGGAGGUACAAUGUCACAGCAGUGUUACACAGGUACAACAGGACACACGGGAGAUACAUCACAGCAGUGUUACACAGGUACAACAGGACACACGGAGGUACAUCACAGCAGUGUUACGUUGUGUACAGCAGGACAGAGGGGAAGUACAACGUGCCAGCACCGUUACACAAUACACACCGAGACGCGUGCGCACAGGUCAGGUGUGGGAAGCGUGCAUGGGAGGAGGCCUCCAGCCCCCAAUGGCGUCCGCUCCCGGGGACCGGGGGAGAGCGGUGCUUGGCAGCGUGGACAAGGAGCAGCCUGUGCGUCUCCCGCCGCGGAUCUCUGAAGCAAUGCCCGGUGUGGGGGACCCCCGUGGGGGGGUGUACGUGCAACCUGGACAGUUCAUUCUCUGUGUGGCUAACGGCAGCGGUAACGGCAGUGCCCCGUGGGCCGGAGAGAGGGAAGCUCCCUGUGUGUGGAGUUUUAAACUCUCAGGAGCUCCGGUAAUCCGUGUAAAGCCCAGGCCCCAAGCUCCGCCUCCCUGGGCGUGCGCCAGAGGAGAGCCCUGGCUGGAAAGCAGAGGUGUGAGGCCCUGUCAGCAACCCACAGAACCUUCGACUGAAGUCGACAACCUGCCCCCAGCCCUGUGAGCUUCCUGCUCAGGGCCCCCGGAGACACAGCCGGCACCGCCCCUCCCCUUCCAUUUUACUUCUCAUUCACAAACAAGGUUGUGAAAUCCCGAGUGCGUCUCUGGCUCCAUGAGCGUUCACACUAUUGUAUAGCUAUUACACUUUUCCUGGCUUUCCCCGUGCCUCAGUGUCUCCCUGCGCGGACUCAGUUUCCCCAAGAAUGCAGCUACCGCCUGGCCCCGGCCUGUCCCAGCACUGGCCCAAACACCAGGCCCUGAGCCACCUGCGGAAGCUCCCCUGCCACGCUGCUCCUCCCCUUCAGCAGUCCCAGGUUCAAGGCCACAGGGGGCAGGGGUCACACCUGCGCCCUAUGCCCUAUGCCCCGCACGACAAUGGCUCAGGUCCUCCUGUGUCACCUGUGCUGGCUUUGCUGACUCCUCUGAAGGAAAAGUCCUGUUUAGCAAUGCGGGGGGGGGGGGGAAGGGGAAAGGGAGGGGAAGGGGAAGGGGAAGGUAAACUGAACCAUCUCACAAGGCUCCUCCUCUGGGGUGAGCUCACUCUCCCCCUCAUGGCCUGAUG
RNAcentral lists this long non-coding RNA (1848 nucleotides) under Oryctolagus cuniculus (rabbit). RNAcentral's name for it is "lncRNA (ENSOCUG00000037308.1)". The record is from RNAcentral. Lineage: Eukaryota; Metazoa; Chordata; Mammalia; Lagomorpha; Leporidae.